GUGAUGGGGAGAAGACAUUGUGUCUUCGAGUCGUUGAUUUCACACUGCCGAGAAAAGCCUCUAGAUAGAAAAUAGGUGCCCGUACCGCAAACCGACACAGGUAGUCAAGAUGAGAAUUCUAAGGUGAGCGAGCGAACUCUCGUUAAGGAACUCGGCAAAAUGACCCCGUAACUUCGGGAGAAGGGGUGCUCUUUAGGGUUAACGCCCAGAAGAGCCGCAGUGAAUAGGCCCAAGCGACUGUUUAUCAAAAACACAGGUCUCUGCUAAACCGUAAGGUGAUGUAUAGGGGCUGACGCCUGCCCGGUGCUGGAAGGUUAAGAGGAGUGGUUAGCUUCUGCGAAGCUACGAAUCGAAGCCCCAGUAAACGGCGGCCGUAACUAUAACGGUCCUAAGGUAGCGAAAUUCCUUGUCGGGUAAGUUCCGACCCGCACGAAAGGCGUAACGAUUUGGGCACUGUCUCAACGAGAGACUCGGUGAAAUCAUAGUACCUGUGAAGAUGCAGGUUACCCGCGACAGGACGGAAAGACCCCGUGGAGCUUUACUGUAGCCUGAUAUUGAAAUUCGGCACAGCUUGUACAGGAUAGGUAGGAGCCUUUGAAACGUGAGCGCUAGCUUACGUGGAGGCGCUGGUGGGAUACUACCCUAGCUGUGUUGGCUUUCUAACCCGCACCACUUAUCGUGGUGGGAGACAGUGUCAGGCGGGCAGUUUGACUGGGGCGGUCGCCUCCUAAAAGGUAACGGAGGCGCUCAAAGGUUCCCUCAGAAUGGUUGGAAAUCAUUCAUAGAGUGUAAAGGCAUAAGGGAGCUUGACUGCGAGACCUACAAGUCGAGCAGGGUCGAAAGACGGACUUAGUGAUCCGGUGGUUCCGCAUGGAAGGGCCAUCGCUCAACGGAUAAAAGCUACCCCGGGGAUAACAGGCUUAUCUCCCCCAAGAGUUCACAUCGACGGGGAGGUUUGGCACCUCGAUGUCGGCUCAUCGCAUCCUGGGGCUGUAGUCGGUCCCAAGGGUUGGGCUGUUCGCCCAUUAAAGCGGUACGCGAGCUGGGUUCAGAACGUCGUGAGACAGUUCGGUCCCUAUCCGUCGUGGGCGUAGGAAAUUUGAGAGGAGCUGUCCUUAGUACGAGAGGACCGGGAUGGACAUACCUCUGGUGUACCAGUUGUCGUGCCAACGGCAUAGCUGGGUAGCUAUGUGUGGACGGGAUAAGUGCUGAAAGCAUCUAAGCAUGAAGCCCCCCUCAAGAUGAGAUUUCCCAACUUCGGUUAUAAGAUCCCUCAAAGAUGAUGAGGUUAAUAGGUUCGAGGUGGAAGCAUGGUGACAUGUGGAGCUGACGAAUACUAAUCGAUCGAAGACUUAAUCAA
This 1360-nucleotide ribosomal RNA is filed under the name Staphylococcus aureus. Its description in RNAcentral is "partial 23S ribosomal RNA". It matches the Rfam family "Bacterial large subunit ribosomal RNA", at positions 1562 to 2925 of the family's 2925-position model. The record is from RNAcentral. Lineage: Bacteria; Bacillati; Bacillota; Bacilli; Caryophanales; Staphylococcaceae.